RNAcentral lists this ribosomal RNA (408 nucleotides) under Bacillus pumilus. RNAcentral's name for it is "partial 23S ribosomal RNA". It matches the Rfam family "Bacterial large subunit ribosomal RNA", at positions 2349 to 2756 of the family's 2925-position model. Lineage: Bacteria; Bacillati; Bacillota; Bacilli; Caryophanales; Bacillaceae. The record is from RNAcentral.
GUGUAAAGGCACAAGGGAGCUUGACUGCGAGACCUACAAGUCGAGCAGGGACGAAAGUCGGGCUUAGUGAUCCGGUGGUUCCGCAUGGAAGGGCCAUCGCUCAACGGAUAAAAGCUACCCCGGGGAUAACAGGCUUAUCUCCCCCAAGAGUCCACAUCGACGGGGAGGUUUGGCACCUCGAUGUCGGCUCAUCGCAUCCUGGGGCUGUAGUCGGUCCCAAGGGUUGGGCUGUUCGCCCAUUAAAGCGGUACGCGAGCUGGGUUCAGAACGUCGUGAGACAGUUCGGUCCCUAUCCGUCGCGGGCGCAGGAAAUUUGAGAGGAGCUGUCCUUAGUACGAGAGGACCGGGAUGGACGCACCGCUGGUGUACCAGUUGUUCUGCCAAGGGCAUCGCUGGGUAGCUAUGUGC